Molecule: long non-coding RNA, 2157 nt
Filed under: Apteryx rowi (Okarito brown kiwi)
Lineage: Eukaryota; Metazoa; Chordata; Aves; Apterygiformes; Apterygidae
Description: lncRNA (ENSARWG00000001083.1)
Source: RNAcentral
CAUGCAAUCCUGUGCAUUUGGGAGCAGGGAUGUGGAGGAGCUGUGGAAAUUCAGGAGACUUUCAGGAAAGGAGAAGAGUUUUGUUUGAGUUUCAUUUUCUGUGUGUUGAACUGCCCCAUCCCUGCUCAACUUUUUUUUUUUUUUUUUUUUUUUUUAAUUUUAUCCUUGUCAACCUCUUCAAGAUGAUAGGAAAAGAGUAAAAGAAAAGUCCACAAAGUAUCUCCGUUCAGAAUUACCAGUAGAAAAAAGUGCUUAGAUUAGUGCUUAGCCUGUUAAAGCCUUCUGGUCCUUCAGAAUGCUAUUCUCUUACUCCAACGAGUAUAACUUUUUANUUUUUUUUUUUUUUUUUUUACUUUAAUUGAAGCCUAGUGUGAAAAAACUAGAUGCUUGGAAAAAUGUAAAAGAAAACUGUAUAAAGUAUCUCCUUUCAGAAUUAACAGUAGAAAAAAGUGCUUAGAUUAGUGCUUAGCCUGUUAAAGCCUUCUGGUCCUUCAGAAUGCUAUUCUCUUACUCCAACGAGUAUAACUUUUUAAGUAAAAUAACUUUGUCAGAAUUAUAUUAUCAGCCAAAUUUACUGUUGGGCCUGUGCAACGAGCUUCUAAAACUUACAGCAAAUUUCCCAUCUCAGAUCUGACAUGCUGCAGAGACAUUGUCCAGAUGAAGAAUGUACCAGGGAUCUCAGCUGAUUUAGGAAAAAAAAAGUACACUUUUCUCAGCAGGAGGAAGCUCCCCGGCUUUGGUGCGGCGGUUCAGGUUCGCACAGCGGGGAGCAGGAGCCGGAGCUACCCAGCAGCUUUGGACGCCUCCUGCCAGGAGCGAUCAUGCAGUUCUGCGGCAGCCGAGAUGCUGGUGCGCCUCUCUGGGAACGGCUGACUGCGUUUCAGCGAAACAGAGCUGGACUUAGUGGCUCCUCUGCUCUGCCAUUUGUCACGUUGAAGCAGAUUGCUACCAUGUCUGUGCUCAUCAGCAACCAGCAAUUAGCAGCAGGUGCUCACCCGUGUACACAUGAGUGUCAGGUGUUCCUGACUUCGCCUCUGGUGCAGCCCCUCUUACACUUCGGUGAUUGUCCCCAGAGAGGAGCUCCAGGAGAUGUUUCAGCUGGCGGGGAGUGCGACUGCUGUGCUGUGGCAGGGGGUGUGACUCUUCACCGUGGGUGAACUGUGCCAGGGAUGCUGCUCUGAACUGGGAUGAGAGCCCAGUGUGACAAGGGCAGUUGUUGGAGGCCACACAUACGAAAAUGUUGAUGUAACAUCAGCUGUUAAUGAUUUUGAAAGGGUGUUGAGCCAACAUGUAAGUUCAUUUCUUAUCUUCCCUUCAUUUAAACUCAUGUCUUUCUUCCACUUCCCCUUCCUCCAGAAGACUUGACACUUUCAAAGCACUUCACAAAUUAAACAAGUAAUCGUCAUGGGUGCCUAAGAGCUGCACUGGGAAACUGAACUGAGACUGAGCUUUUUGAUAAGGGCUAGAGACUCUGCUUCUUCCGUCAGUCUCGGUGAGUGUACAGGUAAAGCCAGUAGUGCCUGUAACUGGGAUGAUGGCUCUGAAGAAGGCCUAACCUCACGGCCUCUAUCCGCUCUCCCACCUCGCAGUGCGUUUCUGCAGAGCAGCCACCCGCACAGUGGCAGGUUCUGCUGUCCGUGAUGAAGAGGGGCUGGUUGUCUCCUGGAGGGCACCUCUGUGAGCGUGGGACACUGGUACGAUUCUUCAGGCUUGAUGCUUUGCUCUUGCACAGCUCCAUGCCAGGUGUCUGUGCUAUUUAGGAGGAUAGGGGGCCAAAUUCGUGGCUUCUCUUUUUAAAAAGAAAACCAAAAAAAAUCCAUCAUCAUCCAGUGGAAAUGAAGCUGUAACAAAGGGGCAGACAAACAGGACCCUAAUGGGAAAGGGGGGGGGGGGGAGGGAAAGAGCACUCAGGAGAGAUUCCUGUCUUUGCGGAAGACACUGGAAAUGAAAGCCUGCUGUGUGCCUUCCCCCUGCGCCUUGUCCUCCCACUGCCUGUCACUGGCCCCAGGGAGGCUCGCCACCUCCUCCGAAACAGGAGUCAUGCCUGUCCCUUCUGCCUGUGCCUGUCACUUCUGUGCAGCUUUCAAGUAUUCCAGGGAGGCACAACAUCCAAACGGAGCCAGCCCUGUGCUGUGGAGGGGAAUGCAUCCUAUUCAG